This 301-nucleotide ribosomal RNA is filed under the name uncultured bacterium. RNAcentral's name for it is "partial 16S ribosomal RNA". It matches the Rfam family "Bacterial small subunit ribosomal RNA", at positions 509 to 809 of the family's 1533-position model. The record is from RNAcentral.
CAGUCGCCACGGUAAUACAGAGGUCUCAAGCGUUGUUCGGAUUCAUUGGGCGUAAAGGGUGCGUAGGUGGCUUGGUAAGUUGAAGGUGAAAUCUCGGGGCUUAACUCCGAAACUGCCUUCAAUACUGCUGAGCUCGAGGAUUGUAGAGGAGAAUGGAAUUCACGGUGUAGCAGUGAAAUGCGUAGAUAUCGUGAGGAAGACCAGUGGCGAAGGCGAUUCUCUGGGCAAUUCCUGACACUGAGGCACGAAGGCCAGGGGAGCAAACGGGAUUAGAGACCCGCGUAGUCCCUGUCUCUUAUAA